Molecule: long non-coding RNA, 854 nt
Filed under: Bos mutus (wild yak)
Lineage: Eukaryota; Metazoa; Chordata; Mammalia; Artiodactyla; Bovidae
Description: lncRNA (ENSBMUG00000014827.1)
Source: RNAcentral
GGACUGGUGGGCGGCGAAGGGGGAAAGCCCCGGAUGUUCGUUGGGGAUUCAACAUGGCGGCGGCAGUGGCCGUAGCGGCGGCGGCGCCAGAGAGCUGAGGGCAGCGGGAGGGCGCCGAGUUCCGGGCCGAGCGGCCAGGCCGCGAACGACUGCGGUGCCGAGCCGGGUUACCUGGCACAGGUGUACAUCACCGACUCAACGGACAUGAGUCUGAGCCAACUCCCGGAGAUGGUGAAGGACAGGGAAGCCUGGCGCGCUGCAGUCCAUGGGGUUGCAAAGAGUCGGACGCCACUGAGCGACUAAACAACAAAAGGCCCCACGUGUCCCGUCCACCCUCUUCCUGCUGGCCUCUCGCAUCCUCCGCCUCCGAGCCUCCCUGUUCCUGCCCUGCUCACAGCCUUCCUGCGGCUCCAUCUCACGCAGGUAAGAGCCGAGUCCUCCCUGUGCCCCCCGCCCCGCCCCGGCCACUCGGCCUCCGCUCUGUUCUUUGGCCCUCAAGCACUCUGCGGCCCCAAGCCUUUGUGCUGGCUGUUCUCGCGGCCAGGGUCCUCCUCCCCCAGGCACCCACUCCUCUCCCCACCCUGCUCUAGUGUGACCUCCUCUUCGAGGCCCUCCCUGACCGCUUCACUGAAGAUCCCCACGUCCCCUCAGCCUCCACACCCAGCUGAUCCCUGCUCUUUUUCUUCUCAGCACUCACCAUCUGACUCACUAGCUGGCUGUCUGGUGUAUCUGCUGUGAACUGUCUCUCCUUUCCCCUCGAAUGUGAGCUUGGCAAGGGCAGGGACAUCCCUGGCUCUCCUGGCCUCUGCUGUGGGCCCUGCCCCGGGCUUGGCAGAGCUCAGCUCUCACCCGAC